This 159-nucleotide small RNA is filed under the name Enterococcus villorum. RNAcentral describes it as "Magnesium sequence". It matches the Rfam family "M-box riboswitch aptamer (ykoK leader)". Rfam says of the family: M-box riboswitch, also know as ykoK leader is described as a metaloregulatory RNA that sense divalent metals and function as a genetic control element of genes related to divalent metal transport in bacteria. It was first reported upstream of the B.subtilis ykoK gene and genes with related functions in other bacteria. Lineage: Bacteria; Bacillati; Bacillota; Bacilli; Lactobacillales; Enterococcaceae. The record is from RNAcentral.
UUCUCUUUGAAAUAAGCGAGGCGCUUAUGCAAAAACUGUUUUCUAAAAAUAUCGAAAGAUAUUCAUGGAAAAAAGGGGCUGUCAUACAGUUGGCUUUCUUUAAGUUAGCUCAAUUUCACCUUUAUAUUGCAUCGUGUUAAAGCGCCAAGUCAAUAAAUG